Molecule: ribosomal RNA, 396 nt
Filed under: Cercozoa sp.
Lineage: Eukaryota; Cercozoa
Description: partial small subunit ribosomal RNA
Rfam family: Eukaryotic small subunit ribosomal RNA
Source: RNAcentral
AUUCCAGCUCCAGUAGCGUAUAUUAAAGUUGUUGCAGUUAAAAAGCUCGUAGUUGGAUUUCUGACUUCAAACACCUGACCCUCCCUCGCUAGAGGUGUGUGUGCCGGAGUGUUUGUAUCAUCCUUUCAGUGAUCGGUUCUACCCUUAACCGGGUCGGAACUGUUAACUGGAACUUUUACUUUGAAGAAAUUGGAGUGUUUAAAGCAGGCUUACGCCAGAACAUAUUAGCAUGGAAUAAUAAUUUAGGACUUUUGUUCUAUUUUGUUGGUUUCUAGGACGAAAGUAAUGAUUGAUAGGGAUAGUUGGGGGUGCUAGUAUUCGGCGGCCAGAGGUGAAAUUCUUUGAUCCGCUGAAGACUAACUUAUGCGAAAGCAUUCACCAAGGAUGUCUUCAUCA